UGAGGAAUAUUGGGCAAUGCCCGCAAGGGUGACCCAGCAACGCCGCGUGGAGGAUGAAUGUCGUAAGAUUGUAAACUCCUAUUAGAGGGGAAGAAUAGUACCGGUUGGACCGGUAUAUGACUGUACCCUCAGAGAAAGCCCCGGCUAACUACGUGCCAGCAGCCGCGGUAAUACGUGGGGGGCAAGAGUUGUCCGGAUUUACUGGGUGUAAAGGGCGCGCAGGCGGGAUAAAAAGUCAGUGGUGAAAUCCUACAGCUUAACUGUAGAACUGCCUUUGAUACUUUUAUUCUUGAGUUCGGGAGAGAGAGACGGAAUUCCAGGUGUAGUGGUGAAAUACGUAGAUAUCUGGAAGAACACCAGUUGCGAAGGCGGUCUCUUGGUCCGACACUGACGCUGAGGCGCGAAAGCGUGGGGAGCAAACA
Molecule: ribosomal RNA, 422 nt
Filed under: uncultured bacterium
Lineage: Bacteria
Description: bacterial SSU rRNA
Rfam family: Bacterial small subunit ribosomal RNA
Source: RNAcentral